UGUGUUGUGCUGAAACCUCUCUUGAAAUUUAUUUGAAACUGUUUUGCCCCAGUUUGAGAUUGUUUGAAAUUGGUUGAAUUGUUUAGAGAUUAUUUUGACAAAGUAAUGCAAUGAGCCAAUGUAACUGUUUUUAAAAUAUGAUUGAAAAGUGAUAUUGAUAAUUGACUGUAAUGCAUUUUGAACUAAAGUCAUUUUGUAUAUAUCUGGGUUUUUCUGUUAGAAGUUUGUUAAAAUAGUGGAUUCUUAGUAUAAUAAGAUUUGGUUAGAAUAGUAGAACUUUGUUUUUGUAAUUCAUUUUGUCAUUGUCAAUUUUAUAUCUAUUUUGAAAUUUGAUAUAUCUACAAGCAUGCAUGGGCGACUCCAGCCGCAUCUGCAUAGAUGGGUGCAGGUUUUCCAUGGUGUGGUGCAUGAGGGAGCCUUACUGCUCACUCUCCUCUGCCGUCUGCAACGCUACCAU
Non-coding RNA from Paramuricea clavata, 457 nucleotides. The record is from the annotation of a GenBank genome assembly. Lineage: Eukaryota; Metazoa; Cnidaria; Anthozoa; Malacalcyonacea; Plexauridae.